Molecule: long non-coding RNA, 314 nt
Filed under: Pelobates cultripes (western spadefoot toad)
Lineage: Eukaryota; Metazoa; Chordata; Amphibia; Anura; Pelobatidae
Source: RNAcentral
CUUGUGCAUUCUUAACCCCAAAGGGCAUAACUUUGCAUUUCUCUACGUUAAAUUUAAUCUGCCAUUUUAGUGCCCAGUCCCCCAAUCUAUCCAAAUCCCUCUGCAGCAAGGCAAUAUCCUGCUCACAUUUUAUUACUUUACCAAGUUUUGUGUCAUCUGCAAACACUGAAACAUGGCUUUCAAUGCCUAUUUCAAGAUCAUUUAUAAAUAUGUUAAAUAGAAGCAGUCCCAAAACAGAACCCUGAGGGACACCACUUACCACUUUUGCCCCGCUUGAAAAUUUACCAUUAAUGACAACUCAUUGUACUCUAUCC